RNAcentral lists this small nuclear RNA (19 nucleotides) under Arabidopsis thaliana (thale cress). Its description in RNAcentral is "snRNA_10539". The record is from RNAcentral. Lineage: Eukaryota; Viridiplantae; Streptophyta; Magnoliopsida; Brassicales; Brassicaceae.
GUGACCUCCCGGGAAGUCC